Molecule: ribosomal RNA, 449 nt
Filed under: uncultured bacterium
Lineage: Bacteria
Description: partial 16S ribosomal RNA
Rfam family: Bacterial small subunit ribosomal RNA
Source: RNAcentral
AACGAACGCUGGCGGCAUGCCUAACACAUGCAAGUCGAACGGGCUCUUCGGAGCUAGUGGCGCACGGGUGCGUAACGCGUGGGAACCUGCCCUUAGGUUCGGAAUAACUCCUCGAAAGGGGUGCUAAUACCGGAUAAUGUCUUCGGACCAAAGAUUUAUCGCCUUUGGAUGGGCCCGCGUAGGAUUAGGUAGUUGGUGGGGUAAAGGCCUACCAAGCCGACGAUCCUUAGCUGGUCUUAGAGGAUGAUCAGCCACACUGGGACUGAGACACGGCCCAGACUCCUACGGGAGGCAGCAGUGGGAAAUAUUGGACAAUGGGCGCAAGCCUGAUCCAGCAAUGCCGCGUGAGUGAUGAAGGCCUUAGGGUUGUAAAGCUCUUUUACCCGGGAUGAUAAUGGCAGUACCGGGAGAAUAAGCCCCGGCUAACUCCGUGCCAGCAGCCGCCGCCG